RNAcentral lists this ribosomal RNA (698 nucleotides) under uncultured bacterium. Its description in RNAcentral is "bacterial SSU rRNA". It matches the Rfam family "Bacterial small subunit ribosomal RNA", at positions 79 to 772 of the family's 1533-position model. The record is from RNAcentral.
UUCGGUAACUGAGCUAGCGGCGGACGGGUGAGUAAUGCUUAGGAAUCUGCCUAUUAGUGGGGGACAACAUUCCGAAAGGAAUGCUAAUACCGCAUACGCCCUACGGGGGAAAGCAGGGGAUCUUCGGACCUUGCGCUAAUAGAUGAGCCUAAGUCAGAUUAGCUAGUUGGUGGGGUAAAGGCCUACCAAGGCGACGAUCUGUAGCGGGUCUGAGAGGAUGAUCCGCCACACUGGGACUGAGACACGGCCCAGACUCCUACGGGAGGCAGCAGUGGGGAAUAUUGGACAAUGGGCGCAAGCCUGAUCCAGCCAUGCCGCGUGUGUGAAGAAGGCCUUUUGGUUGUAAAGCACUUUAAGCGAGGAGGAGGCUACUUGGAUUAAUACUCUAGGAUAGUGGACGUUACUCGCAGAAUAAGCACCGGCUAACUCUGUGCCAGCAGCCGCGGUAAUACAGAGGGUGCGAGCGUUAAUCGGAUUUACUGGGCGUAAAGCGUGCGUAGGCGGCUUCUUAAGUCGGAUGUGAAAUCCCUGAGCUUAACUUAGGAAUUGCAUUCGAUACUGGGAAGCUAGAGUAUGGGAGAGGAUGGUAGAAUUCCAGGUGUAGCGGUGAAAUGCGUAGGGAUCUGGAGGAAUACCGAUGGCGAAGGCAGCCAUCUGGCCUAAUACUGACGCUCAGCUACGAAAGCAUGGGGAGCAAA